RNAcentral lists this ribosomal RNA (433 nucleotides) under uncultured bacterium. RNAcentral describes it as "partial 16S ribosomal RNA". It matches the Rfam family "Bacterial small subunit ribosomal RNA", at positions 29 to 507 of the family's 1533-position model. The record is from RNAcentral.
AACGAACGCUGGCGGCAUGCCUAACACAUGCAAGUCGAACGAGACCUUCGGGUCUAGUGGCGCACGGGUGCGUAACGCGUGGGAACCUGCCCUUAGGUUCGGAAUAACUCCCCGAAAGGGGUGCUAAUACCGGAUAAUGUCUUCGGACCAAAGAUUUAUCGCCUUUGGAUGGGCCCGCGUUGGAUUAGCUAGUUGGUAGGGUAAAAGCCUACCAAGGCGACGAUCCAUAGCUGGUCUGAGAGGAUGAUCAGCCACACUGGGACUGAGACACGGCCCAGACUCCUCCGGGAGGCAGCAGUGGGGAAUAUUGGACACUGGGCGAAAGCCUGAUCCAGCAAUGCCGCGUGAGUGAUGAAGCCCUUAGGGUUGUAAAGCUCUUUUACCCGGGAUGAUAAUGACAGUACCGGGAGAAUAAGCUCCGGCUAACUCCGUG